UAGGGAAUCUUCCACAAUGGACGACAAGUCUGAUGGAGACAACGCCGCGUGAGUGAAGAAGGUCUUCGGAUACGUAAAACUCUGUUGUUAGAGAAGAACACGAGUGAGAGUAACUGUUCAUUCGAUGACGGUAUCUAACCAGCAAGUCACGGCUAACUACGUGACAG
RNAcentral lists this ribosomal RNA (167 nucleotides) under uncultured bacterium. RNAcentral's name for it is "partial 16S rRNA". It matches the Rfam family "Bacterial small subunit ribosomal RNA", at positions 355 to 511 of the family's 1533-position model. The record is from RNAcentral.